CCCCUAACAGGAAACUACCUACCCACCAACCCCCUAACAGGUAACCCCCAACAUCAGCCCUGAGUAAAACAACAACUAAAGCAUUUUAUUUUGCACUUUUUAUUUAAAAAGCGUUUGAACAAAGGAUUUCCCUUCCUUGACCACCACAAAAUGAACAGCCCUUCUUGACAACUGGGCGGAAGAAUAAACAUGUCAGAAAAUAACAUGAUGACAUGUUUCUCCAUAAAUGUAGAAUAAUACCUGGGAACUGUGUCUGGUAAUUUCCAGAACCUUUAGCAUUUAUUCAUUUUGUUUGCAGUGUUUACAAAAAGCUUUUCUCUCUUGGACCAAAAUUGAGACAAUGUCACUCUAUCAGGGACGGGAAACUUUAAUGGGGGUGGGGGCUAUAAAGAAAUCGGAACUCAUUAUGAGGGGCCAUAAUGGUUCAUGGGCCUGCAUACCCACAUCCAUUCCCACACAUGUAAUCAGAGCCAGCCCUCUCCUUUUGGGGGCCCUGAGUGAAAUUUUGAUGACCCCCCCCCUCCCUCUUGCGAUUAAAACAUUUUAGCGGCACCCUUCUUGACAGUGGAGAGAGAGAAUGUAUGUUUUAGUUCAUUUCCUGUAAUUCUAUACAUUUUGCCUUGGGGCGGUGAGAACAUUUUUCAAUUUUAUAACAAAUUUCAUGCAAUUCUAAUUUUUAAAAAAUGUAAUGGGGCAGAGAGGACAUGUUUCAGUUUUACAGCUAAUUCCCUGCAAUUCUACACAUUUUGCCAUAGGGUGGAGAUAAAUGUCUGCAGUUUUUAAUAUGAUAUCUGAGUGAGAGUAAUUAACAAAAUCAACGGAGGCCCCCCUGGUCAGUAAUUCGACCAUGAUUACUACAAAUUUAGGUAGCUGGCUAGACUAAUUUACCAGUCUACAUUUUUUUUUUUAGCUGAUAUGGGCUAAUUGAGUGGCUGUCAGUGACUUACAUAACUGCUGAUGCACAACCAACAUUUUGAAAUGACACCUUGGUGUAUUCUACUAUUCUACCUAGCAACAGUAAGUUGAGACCCCGACUGAGUUCCCUGGAAGGGGUUCUAUAUGAUGUCACUCUUAUGUUUUGUGUGUCGCAAACGACAAAAGAAGAAUCACAAUGCAUCUAACUGUAGAUAUCAAAAUUGUUCUCUUUUAAUACAUGUUCUAAGAAAAUAACAUAUUGUUGAAGUGAAUGGUUCUAAAAAAAAAAAAGCUCAAGCUCUUACAUUUUCCAUAAAAGUGAAGAAGAGAAAUCUCCGUCCACACAUUUUAAGAGACCCUCCUCUAGUUUGCAGAAAACAAUGUAGCUGUUUGUAAAAGCUAAUUUCCUACAAUGCUACAGAUUUUGCCAUACCGUGUUCUUGUGCUAUCUGGGCAAACAUAACAAAAUCAAUGGGGGCCCCAUACCAAGACAUCUUGGGAAUUUUAAAUUCUCCUGUUUUUUUUGGAGUGGCGGCAAGUGAAUGGAAAAAAGGGAAACACUGCUAAGGAUGUGUUUACACAGGCAGCCUAAUUCUGAUCUUUUAACCAAUCAGAUCAGGUAUUUUGCCAAUAAUUGGUCAAAAGAUCAGAAUUGGGCUGCCUGUGUAAACUAAGUAGUCUCAGGAAGGAUUUGUAUGUUUUUUUUUUACUAUAGUCAGGUUAAGAUACGUGGCAUGUUCACACAAUGUCUGUUUAUUUGAAUGUACUAGUGAGUCCAGGGGUGUAUUCACUUGGAUCUAAAAGGAAGGAAACGUGUAGGAACCCACCUACCUGAAUUUGUCCAAUAUAAACUCUUGUUUCUGUUGUAAAACCUGGUGUGUGUUACCUAAUGAAUACACCCCUGGUGUACUACGGCCCCAGAACUUCAUUGUUAUUUACCCCCCUGUUGGCCAGACCAGGGGGUGGAUUAACUGUAUACUAAAUGGCACCCUAUUCCCUAAAUAGUGCACUGCUUUUGACCAGGGCCCCAUGGGGCAUAGUGUUCCAUUUGGGAGGCACCUAUAUGAUGUUAAUAUACUUUAAAAAAAAUGGAAUAUGUGGCUGGCAGGCAUGCUUUAGAGGGGAUCCCACUCACUCAGCCGGGGUUGGGGUCAAUCCCAUUUCAAUUCAGGAAGUGAACUGAAAUUCCAAAUCAAAUUUUACUCAAAUGUGAGACAAAUGUGGAAUUGAAAUGGGAAUUGACCCCCAACCCUAACGUACGAAUAAUUUGAAAAAACUUGAUGGCCACAUGUCACAUUAAAUGACAUGUAAGCUGCCCACUCACUGCAUUAUAUGUACACAAUGAAUCACAAACUUCUGUGGCCAUCUUUGUCUUUGAAAUGUACAGAAAUACAUGACAAGCUUUCAAAUCAUAACAUUCAUCAGUUUUGUCAGUUGAAGAAAGCAUUAACUUGUGUAUAAGGGCAUGGUGUUGCCUUUUGGUAUGUGGUCACUGAAGACCGAAGAAGCAAUGUGAAGAAUGCUGUAGGUAUAUGGAGUACUGCAUCCUGAUUUACUAAACUAAACACAACUGUUCUGAUUCAGAAUGGUUGAUAUGAUUCUGGUUCUAUUAAACACAAAUGUUCUGAUUCAGAAUGGUUGAUAUGAUUCUGGUUCUAUUAAACACAAAUGUUCUGAUUCAGAAUGGUUGAUAUGAUUCUGGUUCUAUUAAACACAAAUGUUCUGAUUCGGAAUGGUUGAUAUGAUUCUGGUUCUAUUAAACACA
Molecule: long non-coding RNA, 2680 nt
Organism: Oncorhynchus tshawytscha (Chinook salmon)
Lineage: Eukaryota; Metazoa; Chordata; Actinopteri; Salmoniformes; Salmonidae
Source: Ensembl